This 328-nucleotide ribosomal RNA is filed under the name uncultured eukaryote. RNAcentral's name for it is "partial 18S ribosomal RNA". It matches the Rfam family "Eukaryotic small subunit ribosomal RNA", at positions 1470 to 1796 of the family's 1831-position model. The record is from RNAcentral.
CCCUUAGAUGUACUGGGCCGCACGCGCGUUACACUGAUGCAUUCAACGAGCUUAUAACCUUGGCCGAGAGGCCUGGGCAAUCUUGUUAACGUGCAUCGUGAUAGGGAUAGAUUAUUGAAAUUAUUAAUCUUGAACGAGGAAUUCCUAGUAAACGCAGAUCAUCAAUCUGCAUUGAUUACGUCCCUGCCCUUUGUACACACCGCCCGUCGCACCUACCGAUUGGAUGGUCCGGUGAAGCCUCGGGAUUGUGGUUCUUGCCGCUUUAUUGUGGCGUGACCGCGAGAACUUGUCUAAACCUUAUCAUCUAGAGGAAGGUGAAGUCGUAACA